This 253-nucleotide ribosomal RNA is filed under the name uncultured bacterium. RNAcentral's name for it is "partial 16S ribosomal RNA". It matches the Rfam family "Bacterial small subunit ribosomal RNA", at positions 524 to 776 of the family's 1533-position model. The record is from RNAcentral.
UACGUAGGGUGCGAGCGUUAAUCGGAAUUACUGGGCGUAAAGCGUGCGCAGGCGGUUUUGUAAGCCAGAUGUGAAAUCCCCGGGCUCAACCUGGGAAUGGCAUUUGGGACUGCAAGGCUGGAGUGCGGCAGAGGAGACUGGAAUCCUGGCGUAGCAGUGAAAUGCGUAGAUAUCAGGAGGAAUACCGAUGGCGAAGGCAGGUCUCUGGGCUGACACUGACGCUCAUGCACGAAAGGCGUGGGGAGCAAACAGG